This 476-nucleotide small RNA is filed under the name Pongo abelii (Sumatran orangutan). RNAcentral describes it as "processed transcript". Lineage: Eukaryota; Metazoa; Chordata; Mammalia; Primates; Hominidae. The record is from RNAcentral.
CCGUCGAGCCGGGAAGAUGGCACCGCCCACGGAGCUGCUGGCCAGGCCGGAGCGAGGCAGCGCGCCCGGCUCCCGCGCCAUGGGGCGGCUGGUGGCUGUGGGCUUGCUGGGGAUCGCGCUGGCGCUCCUGGGCGAGAGGCUCCUGGCACUCAGAAAUCGACUUAAAGCCUCCAGAGAAGUAGAAUCUGUAGACCUUCCAAACUGCCACCUGAUUAAAGGAAUCGUCAGACCAAAGGCUUUGAGUCCCAGCUUCCCAGUUUGUGACCUUGAGCAAUUGAUUAACUUUUCCAAAGCCUCCAUAGUCUUCACUCUAAAAUAAAAGAUAAUCAUACUGCCUCUUAGUAUUAUGAAAUCAUAUGAGAUAUUGUAUGCAGGGUAUUUACAAGGAGCCUGGUACUUGGUGUACCUAAUGUAUGUUAGUUAUUAUUAUUAAAUUAGAGGAGCAAAAAUUUCUCUAGCAUUGACUGCUCUUGAUG